Molecule: ribosomal RNA, 379 nt
Filed under: uncultured bacterium
Lineage: Bacteria
Description: bacterial SSU rRNA
Rfam family: Bacterial small subunit ribosomal RNA
Source: RNAcentral
AACGAACGCUGGCGGCGCGCUUAACACAUGCAAGUCGAACGAGAAGGCGUAGCAAUACGCUUGUACAGUGGCGAACGGGUGAGUAAUACGUGGGCGACCUACCCUCGAGUGGGGAAUAACCCGCCGAAAGGCGGGCUAAUGCCGCGUACGCUUCCAUCUUUAUGGAGGUGGAAGGAAAGCCGUGCCGUGGGCACGGCGCUCAAGGAUGGGCUCACGUCCUAUCAGCUUGUUGGAGGGUAACGGCCUACCAAGGCUCCGACGGGUAGCUGGUCUGAGAGGACGAUCAGCCACACUGGCACUGCGACACGGGCCAGACUCCUACGGGAGGCAGCAGUGAGGAAUAUUGCGCAAUGGGCGAAAGCCUGACGCAGCGACGCCG